CUUUCUGUGCAGGUUGGGAGAGGUAGCAAUGCUCUGUAUCCGUGUGGUAUUGCACUUGUCCCGGCCUGUUGAGGAAAU
RNAcentral lists this microRNA precursor (78 nucleotides) under Larimichthys crocea (large yellow croaker). Its description in RNAcentral is "mir-92 microRNA precursor family". It matches the Rfam family "mir-92 microRNA precursor family". Rfam says of the family: This family represents the microRNA precursor mir-92. Human miR-92 has two predicted hairpin precursor sequences: mir-92-1 on chromosome 13 and mir-92-2 on chromosome X. miR-92 has also been cloned from mouse embryonic stem cells. The record is from Rfam by way of RNAcentral. Lineage: Eukaryota; Metazoa; Chordata; Actinopteri; Sciaenidae.